RNAcentral lists this ribosomal RNA (222 nucleotides) under uncultured bacterium. RNAcentral describes it as "partial 16S ribosomal RNA". It matches the Rfam family "Bacterial small subunit ribosomal RNA", at positions 111 to 334 of the family's 1533-position model. The record is from RNAcentral.
UAACGCGUGGGUAACCUGCCUCAUACAGGGGGAUAACAGUUAGAAAUGACUGCUAAUACCGCAUAAGCGCACAGUGCUGCAUGGCACAGUGUGAAAAACUCCGGUGGUAUGAGAUGGACCCGCAUCUGAUUAGCUAGUUGGUGGGGUAACGCCCACCAAGGCGACGAUCGGUAGCCGGACUGAGAGGUUGAACGGCCACAUUGGGACUGAGACACGGCCCAG